Molecule: ribosomal RNA, 757 nt
Filed under: uncultured Porphyromonadaceae bacterium
Lineage: Bacteria; Pseudomonadati; Bacteroidota; Bacteroidia; Bacteroidales; Porphyromonadaceae
Description: bacterial SSU rRNA
Rfam family: Bacterial small subunit ribosomal RNA
Source: RNAcentral
GAUGAACGCUAGCGAUAGGCCUAACACAUGCAAGUCGAGGGGCAGCAUAAAGGUAGCAAUACUUUGGUGGCGACCGGCGCACGGGUGAGUAACGCGUAUGCAACCUACCUACUACAAGGGGAUAACCCGGAGAAAUUCGGACUAAUACUCUAUAAUACAGGGGUCCCGCAUGGGAAUAUUUGUUAAAGAUUUAUUGGUAGUAGAUGGGCAUGCGUUCCAUUAGGUAGUUGGUGAGGUAACGGCUCACCAAGCCAUCGAUGGAUAGGGGAACUGAGAGGUUUAUCCCCCACACUGGAACUGAGACACGGUCCAGACUCCUACGGGAGGCAGCAGUGAGGAAUAUUGGUCAAUGGAGGCAACUCUGAACCAGCCAAGUCGCGUGAAGGACGACGGCCCUACGGGUUGUAAACUUCUUUUGUAAGGGAAUAAAGUUUAGUACGUGUACUAUUUUGCAUGUACCUUACGAAUAAGGAUCGGCUAACUCCGUGCCAGCAGCCGCGGUAAUACGGAGGAUCCGAGCGUUAUCCGGAUUUAUUGGGUUUAAAGGGUGCGCAGGCGGGAUGUUAAGUCGGCGGUGAAAUUUUGCGGCUCAACCGUAAAAGUGCCUUCGAAACUGGCAUUCUUGAGUGUAGAUGAAGUAGGCGGAAUUUGUGGUGUAGCGGUGAAAUGCAUAGAUAUCACGAGGAACUCCGAUUGCGCAGGCAGCUUACUAAGCUACAACUGACGCUCAUGCACGAAGGCGUGGGGAUCAAACAGG